Molecule: ribosomal RNA, 463 nt
Filed under: uncultured bacterium
Lineage: Bacteria
Description: partial 16S ribosomal RNA
Rfam family: Bacterial small subunit ribosomal RNA
Source: RNAcentral
GACGAACGCUGGCGGCGUGCUUAACACAUGCAAGUCGAACGGAAAGGCCUUUUCGGAGGUACUCGGGUGGCGAACGGGUGAGUAACACGUGGGUGAUCUGCCCUGCACUCUGGGAUAAGCCUGGGAAACUGGGUCUAAUACCGGAUAGGACCGCACUUUAGUGUGUGUGGUGGAAAGUUUUUUCGGUGUAGGAUGAGCCCGCGGCCUAUCAGCUUGUUGGUGGGGUAAUGACCUACCAAGGCGGCGACGGGUAGCCGGACUGAGAGGUUGGUCGGCCACAUUGGGACUGAGAUACGGCCCAGACUCCUACGGGAGGAAGCAGUGGGGAAUAUUGCACAAUGGGCGCAAGCCUGAUGCAGCGACGCCGCGUGGGGGAUGACGGCCUUCGGGUUGUAAACUCCUUUCGCCAGGGACGAAGCGUUUUGUGACGGUACCUGGAGAAGAAGCACCGGCUAACUACGUG